UGAUGCGCGGUGCACGGUUGGCUGUGAACCGAUUUCUGUCUCAAACCCCAUCAA
This 54-nucleotide transfer RNA is filed under the name Boodlea composita. Its description in RNAcentral is "tRNA-His". Lineage: Eukaryota; Viridiplantae; Chlorophyta; Ulvophyceae; Cladophorales; Boodleaceae. The record is from RNAcentral.